Peromyscus maniculatus bairdii (prairie deer mouse) is the source of this 835-nucleotide non-coding RNA. Lineage: Eukaryota; Metazoa; Chordata; Mammalia; Rodentia; Cricetidae. The record is from RefSeq and is a predicted model, not a curated record.
ACGGCACAGUGAAAUGCUCCCCUGUGGUCACCACAGCUGGCCGUGGGUCUACACGGCACAGUGAAAUGCUCCCCCUGUGGUCACCACAGCUGGUUCUGCUGUUGUUUCUUGCAGAAGGGAAAGAGAGAGAUCUUUAAACGUGGGGAGUAAGCCAGGUGUGGUGGCCCAUUCCUUUAAUCCCAGCGCUUGGAAGGCAGAGGCAGGAGGAUCUCUGUGAGUUCGAGGCCAGCUUGGUGUGCAUAGCAAGUUCUGGGACAGCCAAGGCUACAUAGUACAUAGAGACCCUGUCACCAAAAAAAAAAAAAAAAAAAAGGGAUCCAGAGUAGUGCUGUCCUGGAGGGCAUGCGCCCUGAGAGUCGAGAGUACAAGGGUCUAAUCCCAAGAACCCUCUGUGUGUCUGCUCAGCACAGGACACAACUGGAAAAACCUCCAAGUGACUUUUGCUCCCUGGAAGAACUGUAUCCCCUCCCCCAACACACGCACUGGAAUCCAGAACAUUCAGGUAGCAGAUUAAAACAAAGCCACCUCCACUUGAGGCACCAAGAACAUGGAUGCUGUCGUCAAAGGCAAUGCACAGCCUGGAGUCACCUCCUGGGGAGUGAGAGACAGAGCUAUUAGCCACAGAGAAUUGAGGAACCCUCCACGAGUAUUCUGAACGGCUCUCUGGAGCACGCACUGGCCGUCCACCCCGUCCCCAGCUCUCCACACUAAGCCAAGCCCAGGAGCUAGCGUCAGCAAGAGCACGCAAGGUCCCUGUCCUUCCAUAGGCCUCCCUCUUUGUCACUCUGCCAGGGUGGGGUGAUAUUUACACCUUAAACCUUUACAUUUGUCAUGA